GUGCUAACGUCCGUCGUGGAGAGGGAAACAACCCAGACCGCCAGCUAAGGUCCCCAAGUACUAGUUAAGUGGGAAACGAUGUGGGAAGGCAUAGACAGCCAGGAGGUUGGCUUAGAAGCAGCCACCCUUUAAAGAAAGCGUAAUAGCUCACUGGUCGAGUCGGCCUGCGCGGAAGAUGUAACGGGGCUAAAACUAGUCACC
This 201-nucleotide ribosomal RNA is filed under the name Legionella pneumophila. RNAcentral's name for it is "partial 23S ribosomal RNA". It matches the Rfam family "Bacterial large subunit ribosomal RNA", at positions 995 to 1195 of the family's 2925-position model. Lineage: Bacteria; Pseudomonadati; Pseudomonadota; Gammaproteobacteria; Legionellales; Legionellaceae. The record is from RNAcentral. RNAcentral also lists the same sequence under 1 other name.